Eleginops maclovinus (Patagonian blennie) is the source of this 408-nucleotide long non-coding RNA. RefSeq lists it as uncharacterized. Lineage: Eukaryota; Metazoa; Chordata; Actinopteri; Perciformes; Eleginopidae. The transcript is spliced from 3 exons. The record is from RefSeq and is a predicted model, not a curated record.
GACCCCUGAAGACACCAACUGCCACAAGUCAAGAUGCCUCUAACAAGUAAAGAAAAAGUGGCUCGCCACAGAGCGCGGGUUAAUGCAGAUCCUGCUGCAAGGGCAAAUUAUCUGACUAAAAGAAAGCGAAGCACCAGCUGAUUUUAGCUCUGCUGAAGAGGAACAACUGAUUGAAAUGACCUCUGACUCCACCCUGAGGUUAAGAUUUACAUCUGAGACACUCAGUCAAUUUUGGCUUGAAGUGGAAAGGCAGUCCACUCAUUGGGCAGAGAGCUGUGGGCAUUCUUCUUCCCUUUGCCACAUCCUAUCUCUGUGAGAUCGGCUUUCUAGCGGUUGCUUCACUGAAAACAAAGUACAGAUCUCAUCUUGACAUUGAGCAUGACUUCAGAGUGGCUGUAUCAAGCAUUC